GGGUCAGAGGAAGAUCCUGCAGCUUCUCCACCAUGGCCUGGACCCCUCUCUUGCUCCCCCUCCUCACUCUCUGCACAGGUUCCGUGGCCUCUUCUGAAGUGACUCAGCCCCCAGCCGUGUCUGUGAGCCCGGGACAGACAGCCAGGAUCACCUGCCAGGGAGAGCUCAUAAGGAGAUAUUAUCCUGCCUGGUUGCAGCAGAAGCCAGGCCAGGCACCCAUGCUGCUCAUCUAUGGUGACACGAAUCGGACUUCAGUGAUCCCUGACCGAUUCUCUAGUUCUCACUCAGGGGACACGAACACCCUGACCAUCAGCAGUGCCCGGGCUGAGGACGAGGCUGACUAUUACUGUGCAGUGUGGAACAAAAACAGUAAAACUCACAGUGACACGGGCAGACGGGGAAUGGUCUUAGGAAAGACAGACAUGAUCACCUGCCCCGGAGAUUUACUGGAUGAAAAAUAA
Phyllostomus hastatus (greater spear-nosed bat) is the source of this 461-nucleotide non-coding RNA. The record is from the annotation of a RefSeq genome assembly. Lineage: Eukaryota; Metazoa; Chordata; Mammalia; Chiroptera; Phyllostomidae.